Nomascus leucogenys (northern white-cheeked gibbon) is the source of this 120-nucleotide long non-coding RNA. RefSeq lists it as uncharacterized. The transcript is spliced from 2 exons. The record is from RefSeq and is a predicted model, not a curated record. Lineage: Eukaryota; Metazoa; Chordata; Mammalia; Primates; Hylobatidae.
AGGCUAAGGCAGGAGAAUAGCUUGAACCCAGGAGUUUAAGGCUGUAGAGCAUCAUGAUUGAACCUGUGAAUAGCCACAGCCGUCCAGCCUGGGCAGCAUAGCAAGAUCUUAUCUCUAAAA